RNAcentral lists this ribosomal RNA (492 nucleotides) under uncultured bacterium. RNAcentral's name for it is "partial 16S ribosomal RNA". It matches the Rfam family "Bacterial small subunit ribosomal RNA", at positions 28 to 507 of the family's 1533-position model. The record is from RNAcentral.
GGUGAACGCUGGCGGCAGGCCUAACACAUGCAAGUCGAACGGCAGCACAGUAAGAGCUUGCUCUUACGGGUGGCGAGUGGCGGACGGGUGAGGAAUACAUCGGAAUCUACUUUUUCGUGGGGGAUAACGUAGGGAAACUUACGCUAAUACCGCAUACGACCUACGGGUGAAAGCAGGGGAUCUUCGGACCUUGCGCGAUUGAAUGAGCCGAUGUCGGAUUAGCUAGUUGGCGGGGUAAAGGCCCACCAAGGCGACGAUCCGUAGCUGGUCUGAGAGGAUGAUCAGCCACACUGGAACUGAGACACGGUCCAGACUCCUACGGGAGGCAGCAGUGGGGAAUAUUGGACAAUGGGCGCAAGCCUGAUCCAGCCAUACCGCGUGGGUGAAGAAGGCCUUCGGGUUGUAAAGCCCUUUUGUUGGGAAAGAAAAGCAGCAGGUUAAUACCCCGCUGUUCUGACGGUACCCAAAGAAUAAGCACCGGCUAACUUCGUG